RNAcentral lists this ribosomal RNA (252 nucleotides) under uncultured bacterium. RNAcentral's name for it is "partial 16S ribosomal RNA". It matches the Rfam family "Bacterial small subunit ribosomal RNA", at positions 1234 to 1500 of the family's 1533-position model. The record is from RNAcentral.
CUGGUACAAUGCGAAGCGAAGCAGUGAUGUGAAGCAAAUCGCACCAAAGCCAGUCCCAGUUCGGAUAAGAGGCUGAAACUCGCCUCUUUGAAGUCGGAAUCGCUAGUAAUCGCAGAUUAGCAUGUUGCGGUGAAUACGUUCCCGGGUCUUGUACACACCGCCCGUCAAACCAUGAGAGUCACCAACACCCGAAGUCCGCCUUGGCGGCCUAAGGUGGGGGAGAUGAUUGGGGUUAAGUCGUAACAAGGUACC